UGUUUCCUGCAGAAUGAUUACCUCUCUGUAGCCUGUGGGACAGUGAGUGACAACGUCAGCCUUACACCAUGUUUCCUGCAGAAUGAUUACCUCUCUGUAGGUUGUGGGACAGUGAGUGACAACGUCAGCCUUACACCAUGUUUCCUGCAGAAUGAUUACCUCUCUGUAGGUUGUGGGACAGUGAGUGACAACAUCAGCCUUACACCAUGUUUCCUGCAGAAUGAUUACCUCUCUGUAGGUUGUGGGACAGUGAGUGACAACAUCAGCCUUACACCAUGUUUCCUGCAGAAUGAUUACCUCUCUGUAGGUUGUGGGACAGUGAGUGACAACAUCAGCCUUACACCAUGUUUCCUGCAGAAUGAUUACCUCUCUGUAGGUUGUGGGACAGUGAGUGACAACAUCAGCCUUACACCAUGUUUCCUGCAGAAUGAUUACCUCUCUGUAGGUUGUGGGACAGUGAGUGACAACAUCAGCCUUACACCAUGUUUCCUGCAGAAUGAUUACCUCUCUGUAGGUUGUGGGACAGUGAGUGACAACAUCAGCCUUACACCAUGUUUCCUGCAGAAUGAUUACCUCUCUGUAGGUUGUGGGACAGUGAGUGACAACAUCAGCCUUACACCAUGUUUCCUGCAGAAUGAUUACCUCUCUGUAGGUUGUGGGACAGUGAGUGACAACAUCAGCCUUACACCAUGUUUCCUGCAGAAUGAUUACCUCUCUGUAGGUUGUGGGACAGUGAGUGACAACAUCAGCCUUACACCAUGUCUCCUGCAGAAUGAUGACGUCAACAUCUUUAAGAUUUUUGUUGAAAUCCAGUGCUAAACUCUUCAGUCCAAAGGUUGUUGAGUUUAGGCCCUGAAUGUUCCACAUGCUAACUGAUAGGUUGUUGAGUUUAGGCCCUGAAUGUUCCACAUGCUAACUGAUAGGUUGUUGAGUUUAGGCCCUGAAUGUUCCACAUGCUAACUGAUAGGUUGUUGAGUUUAGGCCCUGAAUGUUCCACAUGCUAACUGAUAGGUUGUUGAGUUUAGGCCCUGAAUGUUCCACAUGCUAACUGAUAGGUUGUUGAGUUUAGGCCCUGAAUGUUCCACAUGCUAACUGAUAGGUUGUUGAGUUUAGGCCCUGAAUGUUCCACAUGCUAACUGAUAGGUUGUUGAGUUUAGGCCCUGAAUGUUCCACAUGCUAACUGAUAGGUUGUUGAGUUUAGGCCCUGAAUGUUCCACAUGCUAACUGAUAGGUUGUUGAGUUUAGGCCCUGAAUGUUCCACAUGCUAACUGAUAGGUUGUUGAGUUUAGGCCCUGAAUGUUCCACAUGCUAACUGAUAGGUUGUUGAGUUUAGGCCCUGAAUGUUCCACAUGCUAACUGAUAGGUUGUUGAGUUUAGGCCCUGAAUGUUCCACAUGCUAACUGAUAGGUUGUUGAGUUUAGGCCCUGAAUGUUCCACAUGCUAACUGAUAGGUUGUUGAGUUUAGGCCCUGAAUGUUCCACAUGCUAACUGAUAGGUUGUUGAGUUUAGGCCCUGAAUGUUCCACAUGCUAACUGAUAGGUUGUUGAGUUUAGGCCCUGAAUGUUCCACAUGCUAACUGAUAGUGAUUUCAUGUUCCAAAAGAAAGAAUAGCAGUCAGAAAAACAGUAACUACUAACUAAUAAGUUGUUAAGAGUGUGAUAAACAGGAUAACAGCUAACAUUCUUUCUGUUGCAUAUAUAAAUAUUCCUAUUCAUUGAACAAGUACAUUCUAGUACAAUUGUGUGUGUGUGUCCGUGUGUGUCCGUGUGUGUCCGUGUGUGUCCGUGUGUGUCCG
Oncorhynchus keta (chum salmon) is the source of this 1795-nucleotide long non-coding RNA. RefSeq lists it as uncharacterized. The record is from RefSeq and is a predicted model, not a curated record. Lineage: Eukaryota; Metazoa; Chordata; Actinopteri; Salmoniformes; Salmonidae. The transcript is spliced from 5 exons.